UACGGAGGGAGCUAGCGUUGUUCGGAAUUACUGGGCGUAAAGCGCACGUAGGCGGCUUUGUAAGUUAGAGGUGAAAGCCCGGGGCUCAACUCCGGAAUUGCCUUUAAGACUGCAUCGCUUGAACGUCGGAGAGGUAAGUGGAAUUCCGAGUGUAGAGGUGAAAUUCGUAGAUAUUCGGAAGAACACCAGUGGCGAAGGCGACUUACUGGACACAUAUUGACGCUGAGGUGCGAAAGCGUGGGGAGCAAACAGG
This 253-nucleotide ribosomal RNA is filed under the name uncultured bacterium. Its description in RNAcentral is "partial 16S ribosomal RNA". It matches the Rfam family "Bacterial small subunit ribosomal RNA", at positions 524 to 776 of the family's 1533-position model. The record is from RNAcentral.